Molecule: long non-coding RNA, 926 nt
Organism: Nilaparvata lugens (brown planthopper)
Lineage: Eukaryota; Metazoa; Arthropoda; Insecta; Hemiptera; Delphacidae
Exons: 2
Source: RefSeq, a predicted model, not a curated record
AUUAAUCUGUGGUUUUUGACAAUUUCUUAGUCUUUUUCAUCCAAUAUGAAUAAUUACCACAAUAUCAACUUCUCAACUACAAAAAAAAAUGCUUUUAAUUCGUCACAAUAAUUUAUUUAUAGAAGAAUUUUGAAGGAUUAAAUUGUUGAUUACUAAUUGAAUCAGGAAAAUUUGUUGAGAAGAUUGAUUAAGAAAAAAAUCUAAUCAAGUCAGACCUAUUGAGUAAAAUGAUUUGAAUUUAUCCCAACCAUUUGUUGAAGAAUCAAGGUACAAGUGUUGGUGUACCAGAUAUUUGUAACAACUGAUACUAGUAUCUCAAUUUUUUUAAGAAUGAAUCAGUGAAAAAUUCAAGUAUUUCUAGUCUAUAUGGAUUUCUACCAAACUUAUUACUAUGAGAUAUAUUAAUAUUACUACAAACCAUUCAAGGUAAAUUGUGUGAUAAAUUGUUGUUUUAUUUAACUGGCCUUAUUUCAAAUUUUGGUGUACUAUAUACCGGUAACAUCUGAAACUAGUACCUUGAUUUUUUUAGAAUGAAUCAGUGAAAAAUUCAAGUAUUUCUAGUCUAUAUGGAUUUCUACCAUAAUAUCACUAUGAGAUCUAUUAAUAUUACUACAAACCAUUCAAGGUAAAUUGUGUAAUAAAUUGUUCUAUUUAACUGGCCUCAUAUUUAUGUUUCAAAUAGAUUUUGUGCCGGUCGCACAAAAGCCUGUUAAAUUUUAAUCAUGCCACGAGAACCAAUCAGAGAAGCAUUCUUCUCAAGAAAGCCUUCUCUGAUUGGUGCUUGUGACAUUUUAAUCACGAUUAGAAUUCAACAGGAUUUUGUGCAACCGGGCCUCUGUGUGAAAACUAGCUUGUAAAGAAGAGAAAGAAUUAUUUGUCAUGAGAACUUUUCUUUUAAGCAAUAAAAAAUAUUCUUUCAAAAAUGA